RNAcentral lists this ribosomal RNA (253 nucleotides) under uncultured bacterium. RNAcentral's name for it is "partial 16S ribosomal RNA". It matches the Rfam family "Bacterial small subunit ribosomal RNA", at positions 524 to 776 of the family's 1533-position model. The record is from RNAcentral.
UACGAAGGGGGCUAGCGUUGUUCGGAUUUACUGGGCGUAAAGCGCACGUAGGCGGAUCGAUCAGUCAGGGGUGAAAUCCCAGAGCUCAACUCUGGAACUGCCUUUGAUACUGUCGAUCUGGAGUAUGGAAGAGGUGAGUGGAAUUCCGAGUGUAGAGGUGAAAUUCGUAGAUAUUCGGAGGAACACCAGUGGCGAAGGCGGCUCACUGGUCCAUUACUGACGCUGAGGCACGAAGGUCAGGGGAGCAAACGGG